UACGUAGGGGGCGAGCGUUGUCCGGAGUUACUGGGCGUAAAGGGCAUGCAGGCGGUCGGACGCGUUUCGGGUGACAGCGGGUGGCUUAACUACCCGAGUGGUCGAAAGACGGUUUGACUUGAGGACGCGAGAGGGACACGGAAUUCCGGGUGGAGUGGUGAAAUGCGCAGAUAUCAGGAGGAACACCAAUGGCGAAGGCAGCUCGCUGGGACGUGACUGACGCUGAGACGCGAAAGCGUGGGGAGCAAACAGG
This 253-nucleotide ribosomal RNA is filed under the name uncultured bacterium. RNAcentral describes it as "partial 16S ribosomal RNA". It matches the Rfam family "Bacterial small subunit ribosomal RNA", at positions 524 to 776 of the family's 1533-position model. The record is from RNAcentral.